GGUAAAUGAAGUUCGACUAAGGUCGGCCACGUCCUGUGGCAACGUCGAACUACCCUACAUCGUGUAGG
This 68-nucleotide small RNA is filed under the name Virgibacillus necropolis. Its description in RNAcentral is "Bacillaceae-1 RNA". It matches the Rfam family "Bacillaceae-1 RNA". The record is from Rfam by way of RNAcentral. Lineage: Bacteria; Bacillati; Bacillota; Bacilli; Caryophanales; Bacillaceae.